Long non-coding RNA from Monopterus albus (swamp eel), 746 nucleotides. RefSeq lists it as uncharacterized. NCBI's taxonomy places the organism in Eukaryota, Metazoa, Chordata, Actinopteri, Synbranchiformes, Synbranchidae. The record is from RefSeq and is a predicted model, not a curated record. The transcript has 3 exons.
CAUGUCGGCGUCGAAAGGUAGUAACAGCUGAAUAUUGUUGUUAGUCGUUACAUGCAACAGUUAACCAAAACACUUGAAGUUUAAAACAAACGUGUCGUAACAUUGAGACAGAAACGCUACCAACAUAAGGCGGCGGCCAUUUUGUGUCCUCUGACCGCAGGAAGUAAUUACUAUCGCCAUCUGCAGGUUAGAAGAAAAGGCGUUUAAAAGCAUGGACCCGUGAGAUGCCUGGCGUCAGCCCGGUGACUGAUGAUCCUGCUGAGGCAGCUUACCACCAGACCACAGCUCCAGCAGGCUUGGAACGAUAGGAACUGGUGCAUUGCUGCUGUGUUGGUUCUGACACUAAGAGAUACAACUGCUGAAGACAAUGUGCUAUUGAGAGCCUCAUAACUACACUUAUUAUGAAUGAUGUACUGAAAAUUCCCCUGGUUUGUCAUUAAAGCUCAAGUUCACAAUGGUGUCAUGAGAACACAGCUGAUUAAUUACUCUGUGUGAUCAUCAGUCUAAAAAUAUACAUGUUUCAGCCUGUUUUGUAAAAUGUAUUUUUUAUGGCUUUUUACACGUCAGAGCUAAAAUGAGGCAGCAGUUGAUGACUGUGUCUUAUCCUGGAUUUGAUCUUAUGCAUCCAGGCUGUGUAAAUUGAAAAUAUGCACAGAUUUCAAUUGUAACAGCUGUUUACACAUUGUUUAUAUUGUAUAUUUGCUGGAUCGAAAAUGAGACGGUAUAUAGCCAAAUAAUUCAUUUGC